CAGCUCACAUGUAUAUGGUUUGUGCCAUACUGGAACAUAAUUAUUAGCAACAUGGUGGUGACUAAGAGAGGAAGGAGUCAGCCAACUUGAUAUUGAUCCUACUCCUUUUUUUCCCCCUUUUUUUUUUGCUUUUGUUAUUACUAUCCCCUACAAAACGUCUUCAAGAUUGCUUCCUGUAAGAAUUCCUCCUAAAAGUAAUAGCUACAGUGCCAUAAACUGACAUAAUUCCAAUGUAGUUUAGACACACACACACACACACACACAUACAUACAUACACUAUAUAUUGUAUAAAUAUUUACACAUCUACACACUUACACACAUACAUAUAACACACACACACACAAAAUGUACAUGCCUAUAUAUCUCUCUAGAAGUACGUAGAUAAACAUAUAUAUAUAUAUAGACUAUAGCGGAUGUGUUUCAGAGUUUCAUAAAGGAUUUGAAGUAUUUCACUUAGACAAAUAGAAAUCUAUUUUACUUGGCAUAUUAUAAUCUAUCCUUUGUUUUCCUUUUUGGCAAUAAAUGUAUAGACAACAAAUAAUAUAUAUAUAUAUAUAUAUAAAUAUUCACGCACUGUAUUCAAUAUCUUGUGUGGAUGAAGUGCGCUGAUAUACUACACAUCAGCGACAAUUAAAAAACACCGAUAUUUAAAUUUAAAUCCAACAUAUAUAUAUGUGUGUAUAUGCUUUUGAUAUUUGAAUAUAAAACACACAUAGAUACAUACGUAUAUACACGUAUAUACACAAGCGAUAUUUGAUGUUGGGAAUGAAAUACACGUAUCUGCACUGACUUUUUUUGUAUCUAUGAUAGAAACACAUUUUCAUGGAUAUUUUUAUAAAUAACCUCUGCUAUUUAGUCCGUUGGGUAUUUCCACCUCAUGGGGUAAUUCUCGUGUAAGCGGUAGUUGUAGAAAUAACAAAUAUAAUUAUAAUACCACUAACCAGCAACGUCAGUGUGUAAAUAUAAAGAAUUGAAAAAAUACAAAUAAGUGGGUAUUUACUUGUUGACUUAUUUAUCUUUACUCACACGACUUUUCCCAUUGUUGAAUUAUUGGGGAAAGGAUAUUUACUCAACAUUUUAAAAUAGAAUCGGUUCACAGGGGUGGUUUUAGUUAGUGUGUAAAGCAAAGGAAAGUAAACUAAUAAUUUUCGUUUGUUUUUCUUAGAAUCGUUCAGCAUUGAGAAAUUCUCACACACACCCUUUCUUGUAAAACAGUAAACAUAAUAAGAUAUACUUACAUUAACCAGAAAAUACUAUAAAUUAAAAACAGUUGAAAAAAAUGAAAAAAAAGGAGGAAUAAAAAAAAAGGAUAGCAAUUUAAUUAGAAAUAUAUUUAAAAAAAAAAAAAACAUUGCCUACUAAGCACCUGUUAAGCCCUUCCUUAAGAGUUUGGUCCUUGUUUCAGUCCCGACUGUAGUCUGGACUAGCUUUUGACAUGGGCUUUCUCUUUUCAAAACUGUGGAGUUUAUUCACCAACGAAGGUAUGUACACAUCUUAUUUCUGAUAUUUUUCUCUAAAUUAAAUUCUUGUCUUCAUUGUAUUGUUGUUGAUGUUUUGAUGUUUAGCUCCCAUGUCAACCUGAUUGAGCAGACCCCCCCCCCCAUGAUCAAAAACGUUCCAUUGGUGACUUUCCCGUUUUGUUUUCAGGUAAUGUUUUAUGGAGAACGUUAUCCGUUUUAUUUAAAGAAUAUCGUGCUAUUUGUAAGAGAUCUGGCUGCUAUUCCUAGCAGGUGGAGCGACUAUGCAGAGACACCCUCGUUAGCUUGAGAAUAAGCAUGUUUUGCUUACUAGUGUUGUCAAUAUUUUAAUAAUAAUAAUGAUUUUUGAUAUAUACGCAAGGCCAGCUAUUUUGAGGGGAGAGGUUUCGUUGAUACCAUCGACCCCAGGAGGAUGAAAGCAAAGUUGACCGUAGCAGGAUUUGAACUCGGUAAAUAGUCAGAAAGUAAUAAUAAUUAAUGUUAAAACUGAAGAGGAGGAUGGUUUGGAUUAUAAUUGAUACUAUUUUCACAAUUAAUUUAAGGAAGGGGAAAACCAAUUUGGCAGGUUAAGGGUAUAUCAAAUGUCAGCUCCAGAGCUUUGAACUCAGAACAGUGAUUCCUAAAAUUCUUCAGACUGCUGUCCCCUUGACAACCAGGCCACAUUCCUGGCGUCUCACCCAUCACUCAUCACCACAAAUAUAGACCACUUUCUGCAGCCACAACUGUAUUUCACAAAUAAAACUUAACCUAAUUAAUCUUUUUUUUAAAUUUUUUUAUAUCCAUCACUCACUUUUGGCCAUCCCAUUAUCACCCCACUCUGGGAACCACUGCACUAAACCAUAUUAUAUAAGUCAUCAAAUUAGGCCUCUUCUCUUUCUGUGUUGUAUAUACUUGAACCGAGAUAAUGGUGAUGGCAUUGACCGAGUUGAGUGACAGACAAGUCGUUUAAUAUGAUUGACUUGCUGUAUAUAUUGCUACUUAUUUCAUGAAUAAAUAGAUAGAAAGACCAAAUUGAUUUAGUAAGAAUUAAAUUUAGAGUCAGGCGAGGAUGGCUGAGUUGUCAGAACAACUGUAAAGAAAGUAUCAACUUCCGGCGCACUGUCACAGAUACCAUAACCAUAUAUCAUCUUGUGGUAUACAUUAAUGGUAGAGGUUUUGUGUGUUAUGGUGAAAGCUGAGUAACCUGUUAUUCUUGUUAAGUAUCUGAAAUGGGGAAACACUAUAAUUUAGGUACAUGUAAUUUUAAACAUAUAUAGGUACAAGCAUGGCUUUGUGGUUAAGAAGUCAGUUUUCCAACCACAUGGUUUCAGGUUCAGUCUCACUGUGUGUAACUUUGGGUAAUUGCUUUCUACUAUAGCCCAAGUGUGGAGGCGCAUGGCUUAGUGGUUAGAGCAGUGUACUUGCAGUCGAGGGAUCGCGGGUUCAAAUCUCGGACUGGGCGAUGUGUGUGUUUAUGAGCGAAACACCUAAACUCCACGCGGCUCCUGCAGAAGGUAAUGGCAAAACUUCUGUUGACUCUUUCGCCACAACUUUCUCUCACUCUUUUCUCCUGCAUCUUGCAGCUCACCUGCGAUGGACCAGCGUCCUGUCCAGGUGAGGAACCUAUACGCCAAGGAAACCGGGAAGCCGGCCCUUAUGAGCCAAGCAUGGCUCGAGCGGGAACAAACUAUAGCCCCAGGCCAAUCAGAACCUUGUGAGUGAAUUUGGUAGAUGGAAACUGAGAGAAGCGUAAUACAUAUUAGAUGCAUGUGUUGACAUUCAUGGGAUUGUUGUAAACUAAUGUCAUUCAUUUGCAAUAUUCUGUGAAAACAUGCCCGACCAUAGGGAAAUAUUGCCUUGCUUGGAAACAGGUAAGGUUUCGCAAAACAGGAAGGGCAUCCAUCCAGCUGUUGAAAAGUCUACUUCAACAAAUUCCAUCCGACCCAUGAAAACAUGGAGAAGCAGAUGUUAAAGUGAUUAUGAUGACAUAUGUCCUGAAAGAUGCUGUUAUUUUUUUGAGUAAAAUUUUCUCUUGUCUUCAAUUAUUUUUCUGUGUUAGUAUGAAUGUUUUUGUUUUUUUUCUUAAGCAGCUUAGUCAAAGAAAUAGGAACAGCUCCCAUGACAUUUUUUCAGGGCCUCUGAUACUGGAGGUAAGGAAGGUGUGAGAAAGUUCUCAAACCAGAGCCCUGGAUCAAAGGUGUGUAACAGUGUCGUCUGCUAAAGAUAGAUAGGAAUGUUAAACCAAGUUAUAGAUGAAGUCUGCAAUCUUUAAACACCAAAAGUCUUAUUGACCAAUUUCCAACUUGUGAAUUUCAUUUGCCACUCUUUAUUUGCCCACCUCCAUCUAAGGCUAUAACAGAACGUACAUGUUGAAGGAGCUGCACAGUAGAAUUGACCCUGGAAUCAUGCAGUUGAAAUGCAAACUUUUUGACAACACAACCAUGUUUGUGUUCUUUAGUUAGGGGUUAUUGUUUGAGCAGUUGCCCCCAUCACAAUACUGCUAAUGGAUCCUAAGACUAACAGAAUCAGCAUAAUGAUUAUAAUAGUGUUUGAUAUAAGGAAGUUAGAUCACUGACCUCUCAGCUAUUGUGUGUCAUAACCAAAAUUAUUCAUUUGUUUUAUUAUUAGAUAAACAAAUCAAUUAUAAUUCUAAUCCCUUGUUAAAUCGAUUAAGCUCAAAUAUUUAAUUGUUUGAUUAUCCUUGACUAUAUUUCAGCAAGUGUGAAUGUCAAAGAAACACAUAGCAGAGUGGGUUUACCAUGAACACCUAGUGGGAACUUUAUGAAGUCAUUUAAUCUGCUAGAAAUAGCAUCCAAAUUCCCUCACAUCAUAUUAUUGUCUUAAAAAUAAGACACAUUAGACAGUGUAGUCUAAGUUAUACC
This 4339-nucleotide long non-coding RNA is filed under the name Octopus vulgaris (common octopus). Lineage: Eukaryota; Metazoa; Mollusca; Cephalopoda; Octopoda; Octopodidae. The record is from RNAcentral.